GCCGGCGUAGCUCAACAGGCAGAGCACUCGAUUUGUAAUCGAGUUCGUGCAGGUUCGAUUCCUGUCGCCGGCUCCA
RNAcentral lists this transfer RNA (76 nucleotides) under Bacillota bacterium. RNAcentral's name for it is "tRNA-Thr". It matches the Rfam family "tRNA". From Rfam's summary of the family: Transfer RNA (tRNA) molecules are approximately 80 nucleotides in length. Lineage: Bacteria; Bacillati; Bacillota. The record is from RNAcentral.